Molecule: ribosomal RNA, 441 nt
Filed under: uncultured bacterium
Lineage: Bacteria
Description: partial 16S ribosomal RNA
Rfam family: Bacterial small subunit ribosomal RNA
Source: RNAcentral
CCUACGGGAGGCAGCAGUGGGGAAUAUUGCACAAUGGGGGAAACCCUGAUGCAGCGACGCCGCGUGAGUGAAGAAGUAUUUCGGUAUGUAAAGCCCUAUCAGCAGGGAAGAAAAUGACGGUACUUGUAUAAGAAGCCGCGGCUAACUACGUGCCAGUAGCCGCGGUCAUACGUAGGGGGGCAAGCGUUAUCCGGAUUUACUGGGUGUAAAGGGAGCGUAGGCGGCCAGACAAGUCAGGAGUGAAAGCCCAGGGCUCAACCCUGGGACUGCUUUUGAAACUGCCUGGCUGGAGUGCAGGAGAGGGAAGCGGAAUUCCUGGUGUAGCAGUGAAAUGCGUAGAUAUUGGGAGGAACACCAGUGGCGAAGGCGGCUUACUGGACUGUAACUGACGUUGAGGCACGAAGGCGUGGGGAGCGAAAGGGAUUAGAUACCCCGGUAGUC